Long non-coding RNA from Serinus canaria (Common canary), 2702 nucleotides. RefSeq lists it as uncharacterized. The record is from RefSeq and is a predicted model, not a curated record. Lineage: Eukaryota; Metazoa; Chordata; Aves; Passeriformes; Fringillidae. The transcript has 3 exons.
GGUGGCUGUGAAGAGAGGUGGGGUUGGUUGGUUGUGUUGUGAAGAGAGUUGGAGGCUGUGAAGAAGAAGGUGCUGUGAGGCGCUGCCCAUGAGAAAUCACCAAGAAGGAAAAGGAUAUGGAAGCAGAGUGAAAAAGUCAGAGGAUGAAGAUCCCCAAGGAAUACAGAUGAAGAAUUUGACCGUAGCCUUAGAAAAAAAAAUUGGGUUAAAAUCACUCCCAGCCUUAGUGAUCUCUUCACAAAUAGAAGCUUCUGCUCUCAAAGGAACUGCCACAAAAAAUCUGGCUGCAAUCUGUGGACAUGCUGCAGGGCCUGUGAUCUGGAGAUGCACUCAGUGCGCUGCACACCCAGAAAACAUCUCCCAUUUCUCUGUUGCUCUUCUUGCCCCCUGGACUCACACUCAGAAUUCAUUUGGUUACCUCUGGUGACUCCUAUGCCUGUCCUAGGGAGAGAUGGGAGGUGAGUCUUGGCUGCUGAAAUCUAUGUUUGAGUGAAGGGAGGGCAGUACAGAGCUCAGAGCUGUCACUGACAGGGUGGGCACAGGAUGGUCACCAGCCCCAGGAGGGUUCCCAUGUGUGGUGCUGCCAAAGGCUUCACUGGCCAUUCCUGACUGUCUGAGAGGGGCCCACUUGUUCCUCUCUGGGUCUAAAUCCCUGAAAUAACUCCAGUAAAUACAGCACCCGUGCCCAUGACCUGAGGACUGUGUGCAAUUAAUGACCUCUCCUGUGACCAAGAAGGAAAUUGCUUCUCUGAUCUGUUUUGUUCUACAGCUCAUUGCAAUGGAGAUUCUCUCUCUGCAAUGCCUUAGGUGACUACUUUUGGUGCUGUAAGGUACAGUAAAAAUUGAAGGUUCACAUAUAUAUAGAUUAUCUGUGGAAAGAAAUUUAAAUAUUCACAGGAAUAUUCACUGUGGCAUUCAGACCUGGUUUGUUAGCAUCAAUUUUGAGUCCAAAAUCUCUGAGAGGAACAGAGAGAAAAAGCAGGAGAGAGAAUUGCAGUCUCCUUAAAACAGUGAAUUGUGUUCUGGUCUGAACUGUAAACUGGUUUGUGGGAAAUGUAUCAUGGCUGGUGCACUGUGCUGCCUGAAGCAGAGGCAUCCUAGCACACCCAUAUGCCUGUGCAUGUAUCCAGCACAGCUCUGGGGUUCCCAGCACCAUAUGCCUGCCUUGGCCAGGAAUAGUCCUCUUUAAAAAAGCAGACAUUAAUUUGGGAAUCACACUGACACAGAUAUGCUGCCUCUCAUUUCAGAAGCAGUAUACAGCACAGGCAAGCCCUGAGAUUCCAGUCACUGGAUCAGAUAUGGAUUACAGUUCUUGUGCCAUCAAAACUCUUCAAAAGGGGUUGUUUUAUUUUCCUCCAGCAUGGAACGAGAAUGGCUUUGUAGUUCUAGAAAUUUUUCUGCAGGAUUAGAAAGACUUUUCCUGUGCCUUUUGUUUGUGGUCUUGCAUCUCACAGUGUGAUUACAACAUUGCACUGGUGCUGAGUUGGAAUCUGUUUUUUGGAGCAGCAAAACAUAACAGUGUCAGGGUGGCUUUGUUCUGGGCGGGCUCCAAGUCCUGGGCCCUGCUUUCAGCACUGAAACUGAGUAAUGUGUGAAAAGCAGGAGGAUGAUGGGAUCUUGUUGGCACUUUUGGGAGGUGUGGUGUGUGAAAAGCUGUGUUUACAAAAGGCCUUGCUGUAGUCCUAAACUUCUGUGGGGAGAGACAGUGUUGUUUAACGUGCUUUGUGAAUCCUCUGUUCCUAGAAAGGAACACCUGAAUCUGGUUUGUGUCACAAAGCAGUUUUUAAACAUAGAACUGUGGAAUUUGGGUUGGAAGAGACUUUUCAAGAUCAUCUAAUCCCCCUGCUGUGGUUCAAGGCCAGGUUGGAUGGGACUUUGAGGAAUCUCAUCUCAUUGAAGGGGUCCUGGCCCAUGGCAGGGGAUUGGAAGGUAUGGUCUGAGACUGCCACGUGCAUUUUAACAGAAGGGAAAUGCUCAGACUUAAGUAAGCAAGGUGGAAAAUUGCUGUUCCUUAAACCACAAAGUCCCUUCAUUCAAUCUUUCCUUGUCAUGGCAAGGUUUGCCACAAGGUUUUCAUGAGCUGAGAGAAUUGGGACCAAUUCAGUCACUUCUUCACACCAGAAGGCCUAUGUCAUUAUUAAUCCCAACACCACAUAUCUCUCUCAGACACCUGCAUAGCAUGAAAUAAAUCUUUCUUUUUUAUGUAGACUUUCCUAUUUUUAUAAGUUUCUUUGUCAGAUCAAAAAUCCUGGGACAAAGCUGUGGUUGUUUGAGGUCUGUGUGAUACUCUAGGUUUCAGUGGGUCUGUUCUAGUGGGGCUUCCUUGUUUUCCAGAUAUUUCUUCUGGUUCUCCUAUACUCAUCCAAUAAUUAUGGGGGUUUUUUACUCCAAGGAAUUUGAAAAAUAUGUAAAUUGCAAUGUUCUGAUAACCUGUAUUCUGUUAAGAAAGAAAUAAUAAAUUUAUAUCCUUUUACAAGCCAGGUGUUUGAGAAUGCUUUUAAAAUGACACAAACCCCUAAAUUGUUUCUUUAAAUGUGUUUUAAACUGUGAGCAACAGGAAAUUGUUGGAAAAUUAGUAUGUCCAAAAUCAGUCACUUAGAAGCAUCACCUAUAGUGAAAUAAAAGGUUAUUAUAUGUCAAGUUAAAGAGAUUUUGGAAUAAAGGCUUUAUAUAUAGUAGAAGAAAAAUUGGUUUUGAAUUCU